Sus scrofa (pig) is the source of this 1103-nucleotide non-coding RNA. NCBI's taxonomy places the organism in Eukaryota, Metazoa, Chordata, Mammalia, Artiodactyla, Suidae. The record is from RefSeq and is a predicted model, not a curated record.
GUGGCCGCGGCGGCGCGCGCUGCGAGACAGGAUUGAUUCCCCGCGGCCAGCUGCGCGCAACCCAAGGGAAGAGUCCCUUGCCUCUGCAAGUCUCUGGGAUUGCGCUGGGUUAGUGGCAAGAGGCGCGACCGCCGGUGGGGCGAAGGCCCCAAGGCCCCGGCGGCCUCGAGGUGGCUUGUUUGGGCUAGCGGGGCCUGCCCAGCCCCUCCGCCCCCAGUACCCGGGCUGGAAAUGUGAAUUCAAGGCUGCACCCGCCCUGGUCACCUCUAACUGCCAGGGUGACAGUUCCAAAGUCAUGGGAAAUCUAACACCUAGCUCCAGGAUGAACGCUGUAACCUUUAUGGGACUAAUCGAGUGGAAUUAUUUGAUGGUCCUGAAGAAGAACUGGACUGUAUCCUCUGCAAGAAAAGUCUACUGGCUACACAGAUGUCUCAUCUCAGCUCUUUCAGGGCUGGCUUAAGUUUGGAGAAGAGGAAGCAUACUCCUGAAGAUGUCCCAGAAAGUCCAUAUGGUUGAGUUUCCCAUGUUUGCAUCAUGUUGGAAGCUGGUAAAACAAUUUGCUAUACUCUGAUGUGCAUGGAGGCUUCCUCAUCUUCAUCAAGUGUCAUAACUUUAAAGACUUGACAGAUUCAUUUACUCAUGUAUUUAUAUAUUGAUGUAGUACCGUGUUAGAUAUUGGACAGCCACAGAGUCAGCUUUAAGUAGUUGCCAUCACUGUAGGGAAGAUAAAAGUCAGGCAAGUCUGUGAGUAUAUCAAACAGAAUAUGUCUGGGGCCAGGUACAUGCCUUGAGCCGGCUCAAGUGCUUUCUAAACAUAAGCUGAUACUACAAACAAAUAAACAAACAAAAAAUCAUCGUAGCAAAAGAUGUACAAAAAGUCCCGGGGAUUCUAAGACAAGUAGGAAAGAUUAUAGCAUGAUGGUGUUGUCUAGGGGAAAAAUCAACUCUUCAAGCUUGUGCUAAAUCAUUGAUUAAUAUCAGAUUUUAGAAACCCAAGGGCAACUUUGCAUGAGACUGUUGGUUGUAUUGCCAUUAUGUCAACAUCUUGCUAUUUCUAUGCUCAAAAAAAGUGAUCUUUUAAUAAACCAAGGACAUUUCUCAUA